This 253-nucleotide ribosomal RNA is filed under the name uncultured bacterium. RNAcentral describes it as "partial 16S ribosomal RNA". It matches the Rfam family "Bacterial small subunit ribosomal RNA", at positions 524 to 776 of the family's 1533-position model. The record is from RNAcentral.
UACGUAGGGUGCGAGCGUUGUCCGGAAUUAUUGGGCGUAAAGAGCUCGUAGGCGGUUUGUCGCGUCUGCCGUGAAAGUCCGGGGCUCGACUCCGGAUCUGCGGUGGGUACGGGCAGACUAGAGUGAUGUAGGGGAGACUGGAAUUCCUGGUGUAGCGGUGAAAUGCGCAGAUAUCAGGAGGAACACCGAUGGCGAAGGCAGGUCUCUGGGCAUUAACUGACGCUGAGGAGCGAAAGCGUGGGGAGCGAACAGG